RNAcentral lists this ribosomal RNA (446 nucleotides) under uncultured bacterium. RNAcentral describes it as "partial 16S ribosomal RNA". It matches the Rfam family "Bacterial small subunit ribosomal RNA", at positions 338 to 795 of the family's 1533-position model. The record is from RNAcentral.
CCUACGGGGGGCUGCAGUCGAGAAUUAUUCACAAUGGGGGAAACCCUGAUGGUGCGACGCCGCGUGGGGGAAUGAAGGUCUUCGGAUUGUAAACCCCUGUCAUGUGGGAGCAAAUUAAAAAGAUAGUACCACAAGAGGAAGAGACGGCUAACUCUGUGCCAGCAGCCGCGGUAAUACAGAGGUCUCAAGCGUUGUUCGGAAUCACUGGGCGUAAAGCGUGCGUAGGCUGUUUCGUAAGUCGUGUGUGAAAGGCGCGGGCUCAACCCGCGGACGGCACAUGAUACUGCGAGACUAGAGUAAGGGAGGGGGAACCGGAAUUCUCGGUGUAGCAGUGAAAUGCGUAGAUAUCGAGAGGAACACUCGUGGCGAAGGCGGGUUCCUGGACAUUAACUGACGCUGAGGCACGAAGGCCAGGGGAGCGAAAGGGAUUAGAUACCCGGGUAGUC